This 247-nucleotide long non-coding RNA is filed under the name Salvia miltiorrhiza (redroot sage). RNAcentral describes it as "long non-coding RNA (SMIL_LNC012507)". Lineage: Eukaryota; Viridiplantae; Streptophyta; Magnoliopsida; Lamiales; Lamiaceae. The record is from RNAcentral.
UUUUUUUGAAGUGGCCAGAAGGGAGAUUAGGUGGCUGCUGCCUUUGACUUUUUAUGUGAGCUUAAACUAUUUUCUUUUUGUGGGCUUAAUUAGAUGCUUAUUUGCCCAAGGCCUGUGCGCCAGAUUAGAUUAUGUUUUGUUAUUUAUUUCCUUAUCUUAUAUUAGGAAUAGAUAUAUACUUGUUAAUAGACAACAUUCACGCCACUUUUGAAGAAUAGAGGCUGGACGCAAUUCAAGUUUUACUUUC